Molecule: ribosomal RNA, 301 nt
Filed under: uncultured bacterium
Lineage: Bacteria
Description: partial 16S ribosomal RNA
Rfam family: Bacterial small subunit ribosomal RNA
Source: RNAcentral
CAGCCGCCGCGGUAAUACGUAGGGGGCAAGCGUUGUCCGGAAUUAUUGGGCGUAAAGCGCGCGCAGGCGGUUUUUUAAGUCUGGUGUCUAAGUGCGGGGCUCAACCCCGUGACGCACUGGAAACUGGGAGACUUGAGUGCAGAAGAGGAGAGCGGAAUUCCACGUGUAGCGGUGAAAUGCGUAGAGAUGUGGAGGAACACCAGUGGCGGAGGCGGAUCUCUGGACUGUAACUGACGCUGAGGCGCGAAAGCGUGGGGAGCAAACGGGAUUAGAUACCCCGGUAGUCCCUGUCUCUUAUACC